UGGUACACAUUCCCGAUGGAGGGCUGAUA
RNAcentral lists this non-coding RNA (29 nucleotides) under Mus musculus (house mouse). The record is from RNAcentral. Lineage: Eukaryota; Metazoa; Chordata; Mammalia; Rodentia; Muridae.